RNAcentral lists this transfer RNA (75 nucleotides) under Deltaproteobacteria bacterium. Its description in RNAcentral is "tRNA-Met". It matches the Rfam family "tRNA". Rfam says of the family: Transfer RNA (tRNA) molecules are approximately 80 nucleotides in length. Their secondary structure includes four short double-helical elements and three loops (D, anti-codon, and T loops). Lineage: Bacteria; Pseudomonadati; Myxococcota; Myxococcia. The record is from RNAcentral.
GGGCCUGUAGCUCAAUGGCAGAGCUGUCGGCUCAUAACCGAUAGGUUGGGGGUUCAAGUCCUCCCGGGCCCACCA